AACACCUUGUAAUUUUCAUUAGGCAACCAUCCCUGAUCAUUUUCCAGGCAAGAAGAGCAGUAUUCCGAGAAUCAUCCAACCCUGGGGAAACAGAUAUCAAAUGCUGGAUUAAGUGGUACCAGUGUAAAGAAAUAAUAGCAAAAAAAAAAAAAAAAUACCACUGAAGGAAAAGAGACAUAGUGCACAACUCAUGUUUACCUGACCAGGUAACAAAUGCACAUAAUUUUACUUCAGAAGUAGAAGGAUCUGAAACCCCAGGAGUAAAAACAAUUUUCUUCUCUUGCUGAAUUUUAUGAAUCCAUUUACAGAACUGAGACAAGCAAAUCUUCAGAGGGACUCCUUCAUCUAUUUGAGCCUGAUUAGAGAGUCACAAAAUGUGAAUUGAAUAAUCAAAUUCCAUUAUUAUCAAGCAUAUAUUGUAACUAUACAUUGUUAGAAGAUUAACAAAGAAGUCUUAACUAGGAAAAACUUUAAAGAUGUUACGAUACAUGGGAGAGAAAUAUGACUGGAACUCAACAAGGUAAGAAAAACUAGGUUCACAAAUCUCAAAUCACACAAAUAUGAUCCUAUAGAUCAAUGAUGGUGAACCUAUGGCACAUGUGCCGCAGCAGGCUGUUUGUUAUCAUUGAAGGUUCACCAUUACUGGUAUAGACUAACAGAAAUAAAAGAUAAAUUUAAAUCAUUUUAUUUCCAUAACAUAAAUUUGAUCUUUUUUUUCCUGCAACACUGGAGGACCAAACCCAGGGCUUCAAACAUGCUAGGCAAGCACUGCAGCACUGAGCUAAACACCCCAGGCCUGGUCUUCAUGUUUGUAACACUACUCUUUCUGAUUUUUAAAACUUCCCAUGGAUUUCUGGAGAGGAAUAUUUUUCUCCUAACACUAAAUAAGUCUAAUUCCAAAUGUACAUAAGUUUUAUUUUCAUUUUGAAACUUAUUACUGAAUUUGUGAUCAUACCUGCUUUAUGCCCGUCAGUUCCAUGCAAAAUUCAGAAAGAACUGGAUGUUCUUGAGGUUGAACGUAAGCAUGGAAUUCAGAUUCAAUCUCUCCAGUUGAUGUAUUCAGCAGUACUGCUGGAAAUUCAACUAAAUGAAAGAAUAAAAUAACACUUGAACAAACAAUUUCUAAAUUAAUGCUGUAGCCACUCUACAUUAAAUACACACUACUGUCAUAAUAGCAUCAUUGAACAGUUUCAGAUGUACAUGUACCAACACCCCAUGAUGUAUUGUGUAUCACAAACAUGUACUAAAAAAAAAUUUCAGUAAAAACAUUAUGACCAAGGCAAUGUGACAUAAAGUUACAAUAAAGUUAUGCCAAAGAAUAAA
Non-coding RNA from Heterocephalus glaber (naked mole-rat), 1323 nucleotides. The record is from RefSeq and is a predicted model, not a curated record. Lineage: Eukaryota; Metazoa; Chordata; Mammalia; Rodentia; Bathyergidae.